Molecule: ribosomal RNA, 486 nt
Filed under: uncultured bacterium
Lineage: Bacteria
Description: partial 16S ribosomal RNA
Rfam family: Bacterial small subunit ribosomal RNA
Source: RNAcentral
AUUGAACGCUGGCGGCAUGCCUUACACAUGCAAGUCGAACGGCAGCACGGGUGCUUGCACCUGGUGGCGAGUGGCGAACGGGUGAGUAAUACAUCGGAACAUGUCCUGUAGUGGGGGAUAGCCCGGCGAAAGCCGGAUUAAUACCGCAUACGAUCUACGGAUGAAAGCGGGGGACCUUCGGGCCUCGCGCUAUAGGGUUGGCCGAUGGCUGAUUAGCUAGUUGGUGGGGUAAAGGCCUACCAAGGCGACGAUCAGUAGCUGGUCUGAGAGGACGACCAGCCACAACGGGACUUGGACACGGCCCCGAAUCCUAAGGGAGGGAGGAGUGGGGAAUUUUGGAACAAGGGGGGAAGGCUUAUCCAGGCAAGGCGGGGGGGGGGAGGAGGCCUUCGGGUUGUAAAGCACUUUUGUCCGGAAAGAAAUCCUUGGCCCUAAUACGGUCGGGGGAUGACGGUACCGGAAGAAUAAGCACCGGCUAACUACGUG